This 641-nucleotide long non-coding RNA is filed under the name Parus major (Great Tit). RNAcentral's name for it is "lncRNA (ENSPMJG00000008540.1)". The record is from RNAcentral. Lineage: Eukaryota; Metazoa; Chordata; Aves; Passeriformes; Paridae.
GCUUAAUUCACUCUCCAAUAAACUCUCAUAGAAAGCUAGAUGUCCAGAAGAUACUAAACUCCUACAGUUUUUAUAGAAACCUGAUCAGUGGAUAGUGAAGAAUGGUCCCCAUUGUUGUCCAGUUUAAGCGUUAUGAAGAAAAGCUCAGAAGUUGCUCAUAAAUUGCCCCAGAGGAAUUACAAGCAUAAUUAAUAGUGUUUAACUGAUCAUAGCUUUUAAAAAAGAUGGAGAAUAGUGCUUCCUAUCUACAGUCUAUUUUGCAGGCGGACUGAAAGGGAAGGCUACAGGAACUGUGAGUUCUGGCUGUGCUCUAGACCCUAACUAGUACUGAAGUCCUUACCAGAUCACAUCGUUUUUGAAGCAGGAUUGUGGGGGACAGAAGAAUCAAGUUCCUUGUUUCUUUGGAGCCAUGCUCCCAGACUGGCAGACAAGAUGUACAGAUAAAGAAAACCAAUUUGCAGGGUGCACUGAAGACACUAUACUGCGAUUAUGAGACAGGGGUUACAGGGGCAGUCCUUUGGCUUCUGUCUGCACUAGGCUCCCUGAAGCAAGAGGAGGGCCAACAACUCAUCCUGAUGUGAGAAGAGGCCAAUUCAGUUUCCACUGCAGAAGUAAGAAGGUGGAUGGAUCCAUUCUACUAA